Molecule: ribosomal RNA, 397 nt
Filed under: uncultured bacterium
Lineage: Bacteria
Description: bacterial SSU rRNA
Rfam family: Bacterial small subunit ribosomal RNA
Source: RNAcentral
UCGGGAAUUUUGGGCAAUGGGCGAAAGCCUGACCCAGCAACGCCGCGUGAGGGAUGAAGUAUUUCGGUAUGUAAACCUCGAAAGAAUGGGAAGAAUAAAUGACGGUACCAUUUAUAAGCUCCGGUUAACUACGUGCCAGCAGCCGCGGUAAUACGUAGGGAGCAAGCGUUGUUCGGAUUUACUGGGCGUAAAGGGCGCGUAGGCGGCGCGGUAAGUCACUUGUGAAAUCUCUGAGCUUAACUCAGAACGGCCAAGUGAUACUGCUGUGCUAGAGUGCGGAAGAGGCAACCGGAAUUCUUGGUGUAGCGGUGAAAUGCGUAGAUAUCAAGAGGAACACCUGAGGCGAAGGCGGGUUGCUGGGCCGACACUGACGCUGAUGCGCGAAAGCCAGGGGAGC